Molecule: ribosomal RNA, 225 nt
Filed under: uncultured bacterium
Lineage: Bacteria
Description: partial 16S ribosomal RNA
Rfam family: Bacterial small subunit ribosomal RNA
Source: RNAcentral
ACGCUCGACACCUACGGGAGACAGCAGUGAGGAAUAUUGGUCAAUGGGCGCUAGCCUGAACCAGCCAAGUAGCGUGAAGGAUGAAGGCUCUAUGGGUCGUAAACUUCUUUUAUAUAAGAAUAAAGUGCAGUAUGUAUACUGUUUUGUAUGUAUUAUAUGAAUAAGGAUCGGCUAACUCCGUGCCAGCAGCAGGACGGUUAAUCUGAGGCGGGCGUGGACGAAGGC